This 122-nucleotide small RNA is filed under the name Sinorhizobium meliloti 2011. RNAcentral describes it as "putative ncRNA". Lineage: Bacteria; Pseudomonadati; Pseudomonadota; Alphaproteobacteria; Hyphomicrobiales; Rhizobiaceae. The record is from RNAcentral.
UCGUGUCGGAAUGGGCGCGGCGCCGGAAAGACCGUGCGAUCUUGCGUCCGGCGGCGGCCAGCCUGUUGCCUGAAGCGCAACGCACCGAUCGUAUGCAUGCGACGCGCCCUAGGUUGUUGUCU